CUACGGGGCGCUCCAGUGAGGAAUAUUGCACAAUGGGGGGAACCCUGAUGCAGCAACGCCGCGUGGAGGAUGACACUUUUCGGAGCGUAAACUCCUUUUAUAUAGGAAGAAGAUGACGGUACUAUAUGAAUAAGCGCCGGCUAACUCCGUGCCAGCAGCCGCGGUAAUACGGAGGGCGCAAGCGUUACUCGGAAUCACUGGGCGUAAAGAGCGCGUAGGCGGAUUAAAAAGUCAGAAGUGAAAUCCUAUAGCUUAACUAUAGAACUGCUUCUGAAACUCUUAAUCUAGAAUAUGGGAGAGGUAGAUGGAAUUUCUGGUGUAGGGGUAAAAUCCGUAGAGAUCAGAAGGAAUACCGAUUGCGAAGGCGAUCUACUAGAACAUUAUUGACGCUGAGACGCGAAAGCGUGGGGAGCAAACAGGAUUAGAUACCCGAGUAGUC
Molecule: ribosomal RNA, 439 nt
Filed under: uncultured bacterium
Lineage: Bacteria
Description: partial 16S ribosomal RNA
Rfam family: Bacterial small subunit ribosomal RNA
Source: RNAcentral